Molecule: ribosomal RNA, 253 nt
Filed under: uncultured Oscillospira sp.
Lineage: Bacteria; Bacillati; Bacillota; Clostridia; Eubacteriales; Oscillospiraceae
Description: partial 16S ribosomal RNA
Rfam family: Bacterial small subunit ribosomal RNA
Source: RNAcentral
UACGUAGGUGGCAAGCGUUAUCCGGAUUUACUGGGUGUAAAGGGCGUGUAGGCGGGACUGCAAGUCAGAUGUGAAAACCACGGGCUCAACCUGUGGCCUGCAUUUGAAACUGUAGUUCUUGAGUACUGGAGAGGCAGACGGAAUUCCUAGUGUAGCGGUGAAAUGCGUAGAUAUCGAGAGGAACACUCGUGGCGAAGGCGGGUUCCUGGACAUUAACUGACGCUGAGGCACGAAGGCCAGGGGAGCGAAAGGG